The sequence is an unclassified non-coding RNA, 252 nucleotides long. The stretch from base 1 to 46 matches the Rfam family "Eukaryotic small subunit ribosomal RNA", at positions 1786 to 1831 of the family's 1831-position model.
AAGUCGUAACAAGGUCUCCGUUGGUGAACCAGCGGAGGGAUCAUUACCGAGAGAGUUGCAAAACUCCCUACAACCCUUUGUGAACCUCACCCGUUCUGUAGUGUCUCCGGCAGGUAUCCCUAGAGGAGGGGACUUGUGCCAUCAGGCGCCUGCCGGAGGGCUAAACUCAAACUCUUUUAUGGCGUCUGCCACUGCUGUCUGAGGCACUAUUAAAAUAAAUCAAAACUUUCAACAACGGAUCUCUUGGUUCUG